GACACUAAUGACCUCGUAAAUAUUAAAUAAUCAAUAUUUAUAGACUGACACAUCAGAAUUUGUGGUCUCAAAACUACUGUUUCGACACCACUGAAAAACGGAUUGUUACACCUUGGCAACGAUGACUUUUACUAUUUGUCUGUACUGUUUAUUCUAUCAUCCCAUAUUGCCCAACAACGGUAGCUAGUAAAUCAUUAUAUCGAUGACACUAUGACAUGCCAACUAUACCUAAACUACGUCUAACAUUGUUUAACAAUGCAUUAACAUCAUAAUCACCUUUGUAACACAUAUCAUCAUAAUAUAACGUCUCAACAAUUUAUAUACAUAGCAAACACAAUUACGAAUCGUUAUCUCAUAUUGCAAAUAUCACCAAUCGGAUCCAUUAUCGAAAGUUUAUAUGGUUUUCGCUUUGUCUCGAAACGGUCCUACGUCGUCUUUAGCUAUGAAAGUAAACCUAAAUACAAAAAUUCAUUAAUCACACGAUUCAAACAUAAUUUGCUGUAAUUUAAACAUGAAUGCAUUUAUUACAGUUUAGUCAUUUGAAUUCCUAAUGUCUAAAAUGCUCGUACCUCGUGAUCUACCUGAUCGAAUUUAAAAUUAACUUCAUAACUAUAGUGCAGGGACCUCAUGAUACUAUUAGCUAUCAUUUAACCUCAAAGUUUCUACCCUUUACAAAUAAGUCCUUAAACAAUACACAAUUUAUAAAAUAAUUCAAGAUUAAAUUGCUACCUUCUGCUAUGUUUUUAUCAUGUAAUUAUAUAAAUUAAUUCAUCUCAGUCAUGCAUGAGCUUAAGCUUUAACAUGCAUCCAAAUUUUCUUUAAGCAUUCAAUAAGGAUAAUUUAAUUAACUCUCUUGAAUCCUCAAAUCCUAUACAUGGGGUUUAUUUACCAUGAUUCAUUACAUGGCAAGUGGGAGAGACGACAACUUGAGAAGAAAAGAAACAAAGUUUGCUUCCUCCUUACUUGGCUAAUCGGUGGAGAAAUGAAAGAGAUGAAGAUAUGU
RNAcentral lists this long non-coding RNA (1003 nucleotides) under Gossypium raimondii (Peruvian cotton). RNAcentral's name for it is "long non-coding RNA (GRAI_LNC007062)". The record is from RNAcentral. Lineage: Eukaryota; Viridiplantae; Streptophyta; Magnoliopsida; Malvales; Malvaceae.